Molecule: unclassified non-coding RNA, 355 nt
Filed under: uncultured fungus
Lineage: Eukaryota; Fungi
Description: partial contains small subunit ribosomal RNA, internal transcribed spacer 1, and 5.8S ribosomal RNA
Rfam family: Eukaryotic small subunit ribosomal RNA (bases 1-73)
Source: RNAcentral
GCAAACUUGGUCAUUUAGAGGAAGUAAAAGUCGUAACAAGGUUUCCGUAGGUGAACCUGCGGAAGGAUCAUCACUGAUUCUUGGGGGAGUGUUGUUGUUCCUGCACACACUAGUGUGUGGUGAGCGCGCCGCGCCCCCAACCAAUCUUUUGUGCACGGUUUCACGGUCAACGAGGCGCCGCGCGUGUGUUGGCGAGUCAUCCCCAGUGGGUGGUGGCUUGCCAACCGCACGCGUCCGUGCGUUCUCUGCUUGCAAUCUCUUGUGCAAUCUCUUUGUCUAACGCGUUACCUAAAUCAUAACACAUACAACUUUCAACAAUGGAUCUCUUGGCUCUCGCAUCGAUGAAGAACGCAGC